UGGUGGAGUGAUUUGUCUGGUUAAUUCCGUUAACGAACGAGACCGCUGCCUGCUAUUUAGUUUUUUCAGUAAUCUUACUGAGUAAACUUCUUAGAGGAACGUGCAUUCUAUUAGAUGCAGGAAGACAGCGGCAAUAACA
Molecule: ribosomal RNA, 139 nt
Filed under: uncultured eukaryote
Lineage: Eukaryota
Description: partial 18S ribosomal RNA
Rfam family: Eukaryotic small subunit ribosomal RNA
Source: RNAcentral